Molecule: small nucleolar RNA, 107 nt
Organism: Heterocephalus glaber (naked mole-rat)
Lineage: Eukaryota; Metazoa; Chordata; Mammalia; Rodentia; Bathyergidae
Gene: SNORA70
Rfam family: Small nucleolar RNA SNORA70
About the family: snoRNA U70 seems to be exclusive to mammals and is a member of the H/ACA class of snoRNA which contain H (ANANNA) and ACA box motifs. H/ACA box snoRNAs are involved in the conversion of uridines to pseudouridines (5-ribosyluracil) a constituent of structural RNAs (transfer, ribosomal, small nuclear, and small nucleolar).
Source: Ensembl
AGGAAAGAAAGAAAGAAAGGGGUCCCUGGCUGCAAACAGCAACCUCCUCAAUAGUGUACACAGCCUGUUGCUUUUAUGGGCUGCCCUAAGGGACCUUGGAGACACUG